Molecule: ribosomal RNA, 201 nt
Filed under: uncultured bacterium
Lineage: Bacteria
Description: partial 16S ribosomal RNA
Rfam family: Bacterial small subunit ribosomal RNA
Source: RNAcentral
AUUCCUACGGGAGGCAGCAGUGGGGAAUAUUGCACAAUGGGCGCAAGCCUGAUGCAGCCAUGCCGCGUGUAUGAAGAAGGCCUUCGGGUUGUAAAGUACUUUCAGUCGUGAGGAAGGUUCAUACGUUAAUAGCGUAUGGAUUUGACGUUAGCGACAGAAGAAGCACCGGCUAACUCCGUGCCAGCAGCCGCGGUAAUAAUU